This 399-nucleotide long non-coding RNA is filed under the name Rattus norvegicus (Norway rat). Its description in RNAcentral is "long non-coding RNA NONRATT002261". Lineage: Eukaryota; Metazoa; Chordata; Mammalia; Rodentia; Muridae. The record is from RNAcentral.
CUUAAGGAUACCAAGAGUCCCUGACAAGGAGGCUACAAAUAAAUUCAAGUUUCCCCAUGUGCAGGGCUGUGUUUCCUUUGAGGAUGUGGCUGUUUACUUCUCCUGGGAGGAAUGGACACUGCUCAAUGACUCUCAAAGGCUUCUGUACCAGACGGUGAUGACAGAGAUCUUAGCACUCAUGUCCUCUCUCGGUAAGACCCUGCCAUUCUGACAGAGCAUGUCUAGGUAGGCUUUCCUUUCUUUCUAGAGAGCUGUAUCCUUCUCAAAGCUGGCUUAUGAACACCCAGUCUUUCCCCCACUGUCUUGGAGUAUAAAAUACAGGUUAAAAACCAAGGUUUGUUUCACAAUGGCUCUGUCUUAACUGUAGCAAGGGCACACAGAAAUCAAUUUGGAAUUAGG